Molecule: ribosomal RNA, 772 nt
Filed under: uncultured bacterium
Lineage: Bacteria
Description: bacterial SSU rRNA
Rfam family: Bacterial small subunit ribosomal RNA
Source: RNAcentral
UCGAGCGGUAGGCCUUUCGGGGUACACGAGCGGCGAACGGGUGAGUAACACGUGGGUGAUCUGCCCUGCACUUCGGGAUAAGCCUGGGAAACUGGGUCUAAUACUGGAUAUGACCUCCUAUCGCAUGGUGGGUGGUGGAAAGAUUUAUCGGUGCAGGAUGGGCCCGCGGCCUAUCAGCUUGUUGGUGGGGUAAUGGCCUACCAAGGCGACGACGGGUAGCCGACCUGAGAGGGUGACCGGCCACACUGGGACUGAGACACGGCCCAGACUCCUACGGGAGGCAGCAGUGGGGAAUAUUGCACAAUGGGCGAAAGCCUGAUGCAGCGACGCCGCGUGAGGGAUGACGGCCUUCGGGUUGUAAACCUCUUUCAGCAGGGACGAAGCGCAAGUGACGGUACCUGCAGAAGAAGCACCGGCUAACUACGUGCCAGCAGCCGCGGUAAUACGUAGGGUGCAAGCGUUGUCCGGAAUUACUGGGCGUAAAGAGUUCGUAGGCGGUUUGUCGCGUCGUUUGUGAAAACCAGCAGCUCAACUGCUGGCUUGCAGGCGAUACGGGCAGACUUGAGUACUGCAGGGGAGACUGGAAUUCCUGGUGUAGCGGUGAAAUGCGCAGAUAUCAGGAGGAACACCGGUGGCGAAGGCGGGUCUCUGGGCAGUAACUGACGCUGAGGAACGAAAGCGUGGGUAGCGAACAGGAUUAGAUACCCUGGUAGUCCACGCCGUACACGGUGGGCGCUAGGUGUGGGUUCCUUCCACGGAAUCCGUGCCGUAG